This 462-nucleotide ribosomal RNA is filed under the name uncultured bacterium. RNAcentral's name for it is "partial 16S ribosomal RNA". It matches the Rfam family "Bacterial small subunit ribosomal RNA", at positions 28 to 507 of the family's 1533-position model. The record is from RNAcentral.
GAUAAACGCUGGCGGCGUGCUUAACACAUGCAAGUCGAACGAAGUUUUUCUUUCGGGAGGAACUUAGUGGCGGACGGGUGAGUAACGCGUGGGUAACCUGCCCUGUACAGGGGGACAACAGCUGGAAACGGCUGCUAAUACCGCAUAAGCCCUUAGCACUGCAUGGUGCAUAGGGAAAAGGAGCAAUCCGGUACAGGAUGGACCCGCGUCUGAUUAGCCAGUUGGCAGGGUAACGGCCUACCAAAGCGACGAUCAGUAGCCGAUCUGAGGGGAUGUACGGCCACAUUGGGACUGAGACACGGCCCAGACUCCUACGGGAGGCAGCAGUGGGGAAUAUUGCACAAUGGAGGAAACUCUGAUGCAGCGACGCCGCGUGAGUGAAGAAGUAUUUCGGUAUGUAAAGCUCUAUCAGCAGGAAAGAAAAUGACGGUACCUGACUAAGAAGCACCGGCUAAAUACGUG